UGGGGAGUCGUCCAACGGCAGGACAGCAGACUCUGGAUCUGUUUAUCGGGGUUCGAAUCCCUGCUCCCCAGCUA
RNAcentral lists this transfer RNA (74 nucleotides) under bacterium. Its description in RNAcentral is "tRNA-Gln". It matches the Rfam family "tRNA". From Rfam's summary of the family: Transfer RNA (tRNA) molecules are approximately 80 nucleotides in length. Their secondary structure includes four short double-helical elements and three loops (D, anti-codon, and T loops). Further hydrogen bonds mediate the characteristic L-shaped molecular structure. tRNAs have two regions of fundamental functional importance: the anti-codon, which is responsible for specific mRNA codon recognition, and the 3' end, to which the tRNAs corresponding amino acid is attached (by aminoacyl-tRNA synthetases). tRNAs cope with the degeneracy of the genetic code in two manners: having more than one tRNA (with a specific anti-codon) for a particular amino acid; and 'wobble' base-pairing, i.e. permitting non-standard base-pairing at the 3rd anti-codon position. The record is from RNAcentral.